RNAcentral lists this ribosomal RNA (467 nucleotides) under uncultured bacterium. Its description in RNAcentral is "partial 16S ribosomal RNA". It matches the Rfam family "Bacterial small subunit ribosomal RNA", at positions 28 to 506 of the family's 1533-position model. The record is from RNAcentral.
GACGAACGCUGGCGGCGUGCUUAACACAUGCAAGUCGAACGGAAAGGCCCUGCUUUUGUGGGGUGCUCGAGUGGCGAACGGGUGAGUAACACGUGAGUAACCUGCCCUUGACUUUGGGAUAACUUCAGGAAACUGGGGCUAAUACCGGAUAGGAGCUCCUGCUGCAUGGUGGGGGUUGGAAAGUUUCGGCGGUUGGGGAUGGACUCGCGGCUUAUCAGCUUGUUGGUGGGGUAGUGGCUUACCAAGGCUUUGACGGGUAGCCGGCCUGAGAGGGUGACCGGCCACAUUGGGACUGAGAUACGGCCCAGACUCCUACGGGAGGCAGCAGUGGGGAAUAUUGCACAAUGGGCGGAAGCCUGAUGCAGCAACGCCGCGUGCGGGAUGGCGGCCUUCGGGUUGUAAACCGCUUUCGCCUGUGACGAAGCGUGAGGGACGGUAAUGGGUAAAGAAGCACCGGCGAACUACGU